AUUGAACGCUGGCGGCAGGCCUAACACAUGCAAGUCGAGCGGAUGAAGGGAGCUUGCUCCUGGAUUCAGCGGCGGACGGGUGAGUAAUGCCUAGGAAUCUGCCUGGUAGUGGGGGAUAACGUCCGGAAACGGGCGCUAAUACCGCAUACGUCCUGAGGGAGAAAGUGGGGGAUCUUCGGACCUCACGCUAUCAGAUGAGCCUAGGUCGGAUUAGCUAGUUGGUGGGGUAAAGGCCUACCAAGGCGACGAUCCGUAACUGGUCUGAGAGGAUGAUCAGUCACACUGGAACUGAGACACGGUCCAGACUCCUGCGAGAGGCAGCAGUGGGGAAUAUUAGACAAUGGGCGAAAGCCUGGUCCAGCCAUGCCGCGUGUGUGAAGAAGGUCUUCGGAUUGUAAAGCACUUUAAGUUGGGAGGAAGGGCAGUAAGUUAAUACCUUGCUGUUUUGACGUUACCAACAGAAUAAGCACCGGCUAACUUCGUG
RNAcentral lists this ribosomal RNA (484 nucleotides) under uncultured bacterium. RNAcentral's name for it is "partial 16S ribosomal RNA". It matches the Rfam family "Bacterial small subunit ribosomal RNA", at positions 30 to 507 of the family's 1533-position model. The record is from RNAcentral.